GAUGAACGCUGGCGGCGUGCCUAAUACAUGCAAGUCGAGCGAACAGACGAGGAGCUUGCUCCUCUGACGUUAGCGGCGGACGGGUGAGUAACACGUGGAUAACCUACCUAUAAGACUGGGAUAACUUCGGGAAACCGGAGCUAAUACCGGAUAAUAUAUUGAACCGCAUGGUUCAAUAGUGAAAGACGGUUUUGCUGUCACUUAUAGAUGGAUCCGCGCCGCAUUAGCUAGUUGGUAAGGUAACGGCUUACCAAGGCAACGAUGCGUAGCCGACCUGAGAGGGGGAUCGGCCACACUGGAACUGAGACACGGUCCAGACUCCGACGGGAGGCAGCAGUAGGGAAUCUGCCGCAAUGGGCGAAAGCCUGACGGAGCAACGCCGCGUGAGUGAUGAAGGUCUGCGGAUCGUAAAACGCUGUUAGUAGGGAAGAACAAAUGUGUAAGUAACUAUGCGCGUCUGGACGGUACCUAAUCAGAAAGUCACGGCUAACUACGU
RNAcentral lists this ribosomal RNA (496 nucleotides) under uncultured bacterium. Its description in RNAcentral is "partial 16S ribosomal RNA". It matches the Rfam family "Bacterial small subunit ribosomal RNA", at positions 28 to 506 of the family's 1533-position model. The record is from RNAcentral.